CCUACGGGAGGCUGCAGUAGGGAAUCUUCCACAAUGGACGAAAGUCUGAUGGAGCAACGCCGCGUGAGUGAAGAAGGGUUUCGGCUCGUAAAGCUCUGUUGGUAGUGAAGAAAGAUAGAGGUAGUAACUGGCCUUUAUUUGACGGUAAUUACUUAGAAAGUCACGGCUAACUACGUGCCAGCAGCCGCGGUAAUACGUAGGUGGCAAGCGUUGUCCGGAUUUAUUGGGCGUAAAGCGAGUGCAGGCGGUUCAAUAAGUGUGAUGUGAAAGCCUUCGGCUCAACCGGAGAAUUGCAUCAGAAACUGUUGAACUGGAGUGCAGAAGAGGAGAGUGGAACUCCAUGUGUAGCGGUGGAAUGCGUAGAUAUAUGGAAGAACACCAGUGGCGAAGGCGGCUCUCUGGUCUGCAACUGACGCUGAGGCUCGAAAGCAUGGGUAGCGAACAGGAUUAGAUACCCCUGUAGUC
This 465-nucleotide ribosomal RNA is filed under the name uncultured bacterium. Its description in RNAcentral is "partial 16S ribosomal RNA". It matches the Rfam family "Bacterial small subunit ribosomal RNA", at positions 338 to 795 of the family's 1533-position model. The record is from RNAcentral.